GACGAACGCUGGCGGCGUGCUUAACACAUGCAAGUCGAACGAGAGCGUAGAGAAAGCUUGCUUUUUCUACAAUCUAGUGGCAAACGGGUGAGUAACGCGUAAACAACCUGCCCUACGGAUGGGGACAACAGCUGGAAACGGCUGCUAAUACCGAAUACGUUCCGAAAGUCGCAUGACUAUCGGAAGAAAGGAUGGCCUCUAUUUAUAAGCUAUCGCCGGAGGAGGGGUUUGCGUCUGAUUAGCUAGUUGGAGGGGUAACGGCCCACCAAGGCGACGAUCAGUAGCCGGUCUGAGAGGAUGAACGGCCACAUUGGAACUGAGACACGGUCCAGACUCCUACGGGAGGCAGCAGUGGGGAAUCUUACGCAAUGGGCGAAAGCCUGACGGAGCAACGCCGCGUGAGUGAAGACGGCCUUCGGGUUGUAAAGCUCUGUUAUACGGGACGAAUAAUCUUGUGGUUAAUACCCAUGAGAAGUGACGGUACCGUAAGAGAAAGCCACGGCUAACUACGUG
Molecule: ribosomal RNA, 513 nt
Filed under: uncultured bacterium
Lineage: Bacteria
Description: partial 16S ribosomal RNA
Rfam family: Bacterial small subunit ribosomal RNA
Source: RNAcentral